GAAGUGUUUGAUUUUGGCUUAAUUUUUUACGUUAUUAUUAAAAUUGUAUGAAAGUUAUGGCGUGUCUAGAAAAUUUAGUUUUAUACUAAGUUAAAGUAAUAAGUAAGUAAAUCAUAAAAUUAUAUGGUCUCAGCAUGAAUUAUUAAAAUAAUAUACAAGAGUAUGAGUUAGUAAUAAUAUAAAAAUCUGAUGAAUAUUU
This 199-nucleotide ribosomal RNA is filed under the name Tuerkayana rotundum. RNAcentral's name for it is "partial 12S small subunit ribosomal RNA". Lineage: Eukaryota; Metazoa; Arthropoda; Malacostraca; Decapoda; Gecarcinidae. The record is from RNAcentral.